GAUGAACGCUGGCGGCGUGCUUAACACAUGCAAGUCGAACGAUGAAGCCCAGCUUGCUGGGUGGAUUAGUGGCGAACGGGUGAGUAACACGUGAGUAACCUGCCCUUAACUCUGGGAUAAGCCUGGGAAACUGGGUCUAAUACCGGAGAGGAGCGGCCACCGCCGGGUGGGUGUUGGGAAGAUUUAUCGGUUUUGGAUGGACUCGCGGCCUAUCAGCUUGUUGGUGUGGUAAUGGCUCACCAAGGCGACGACGGGUAGCCGGCCUGAGAGGGUGGCCGGCCACACUGGGACUGAGACACGGCCCAGACUCCUACGGGAGGCAGCAGUGGGGAAUAUUGCACAAUGGGCGCAAGCCUGAUGCAGCGACGCCGCGUGAGGGAUGACGGCCUUCGGGUUGUAAACCUCUUUCAGUAGGGAAGAAGCGAAAGUGACGGUACCUGCAGAAGAAGCACCGGCUAACUACGUG
This 466-nucleotide ribosomal RNA is filed under the name uncultured bacterium. Its description in RNAcentral is "partial 16S ribosomal RNA". It matches the Rfam family "Bacterial small subunit ribosomal RNA", at positions 28 to 507 of the family's 1533-position model. The record is from RNAcentral.